RNAcentral lists this long non-coding RNA (593 nucleotides) under Rattus norvegicus (Norway rat). RNAcentral describes it as "long non-coding RNA NONRATT019187". The record is from RNAcentral. Lineage: Eukaryota; Metazoa; Chordata; Mammalia; Rodentia; Muridae.
GACGCGAGGACGGCUGAAUGACUGGGAGCCCCAAGUUGUCUGCGUCUCCGGGAGAGGUCUAUCUGGAUAUUAUUUUUGCUUUACAAAAAGAACAAAAACGGAGCCAGGCCUUUGAUCCCCCUGCCUGCUGAAGUGAGUUUUGAUUGAAGUAGCCUAGCCGAUCUUCUUACUGCCAGCAGCCGGGGAGGCUCCUAAGUGAGCUACUUCUCAGGCUGGGCACAAGCAAGUGAAUUUGAAAAAGCAGGACCAGCCCCUGCAUGUAGAGCUUCAGCCUGGAAACUCCCCAGUCAACCAUGUAGCUAAAGACCCUUGGUAUUGUGGUCACAUCCCUAAGAAGUGAGCAGUCAUCAGCAGUUGGCAUUCGGAGGAGGCUGGGAUGCUACAGAUGCUGUGGCACUUUCUGUCUAGCUUUCUCCCUAGAGCUGGGUGCCAGGACUCCAGAGAGGGCAUCGAUCAUGGAGUCAGAGGCACUCAGGCCCCUGCUCAGGGAGACCAGAUGUCCACCUUUUUGGGGAAACAAAGCGGAAGGGCUGAGGCCACGGAAAAGAGACCCACUAUCUUGCUGGUGGUCGGACCUGCAGAACAGUUUCCUA